Molecule: ribosomal RNA, 429 nt
Filed under: Chloroflexota bacterium
Lineage: Bacteria; Bacillati; Chloroflexota
Description: Chloroflexi bacterium partial 16S ribosomal RNA
Rfam family: Bacterial small subunit ribosomal RNA
Source: RNAcentral
UGGGGAAUAUUGCACAAUGGGCGCAAGCCUGAUGCAGCCAUGCCGCGUGUAUGAAGAAGGCCUUCGGGUUGUAAAGUACUUUCAGUCGGGAGGAAGGUGGUAAGGUUAAUAACCUUAUCAAUUGACGUUACCGACAGAAGAAGCACCGGCUAACUCCGUGCCAGCAGCCGCGGUAAUACGGAGGGUGCAAGCGUUAAUCGGAAUUACUGGGCGUAAAGCGCACGCAGGCGGUUGAUUGAGUCAGAUGUGAAAUCCCCGGGCUUAACCCGGGAAUUGCAUCUGAUACUGGUCAGCUAGAGUCUUGUAGAGGGGGGUAGAAUUCCAUGUGUAGCGGUGAAAUGCGUAGAGAUGUGGAGGAAUACCGGUGGCGAAGGCGGCCCCCUGGACAAAGACUGACGCUCAGGUGCGAAAGCGUGGGGAGCAAACAGU